Molecule: unclassified non-coding RNA, 735 nt
Filed under: Bombus terrestris (buff-tailed bumblebee)
Lineage: Eukaryota; Metazoa; Arthropoda; Insecta; Hymenoptera; Apidae
Description: misc RNA ENSBTSG00005021936.1
Source: RNAcentral
GUGUCUGCGUGUCGCGCUCGCAGAAUACACCUUGGCGAUUUUUCUGCGCGCACACACCGGCUCGCGCUUUGCGUUCGCUCGCACGCGCGCACGAAUACCAGAUCGAGCUUGUUUCGCGCGCGCCUAUAUACGGACCGGCAGAUCGUAUAUGUGCGCGCAAGGUACGCGCCGCGCUGCCCAGCCAGCGGAGAGGAGAGAGAAUAUUUCGUUCGAUUUCGAUCGACGGGGUGCAACGGGGGAGAACCGCAUUGCUGGCCUGUGAGUCGACCGCGGCUGCUAGGACGACGACAACGACGACGACGACGACGACGAUGGUGGCGGCGGUGGUGGAGCCGACGCACAUCUUGUCGCCGGACGGCGUGUCUGAAGGGCAGGGCCGUAUUCUUGCUGGCUAGCACCCGUUUGAGGCUUCACCGCGCCUGUGUACGCCUCCGUUUUGCGUGUCAUCGGGGUGCACGAGGUGUGAAUUUUAAUACAAAGCUUGCUUACUGCGCGAACCAACACUGCGAGGGUUUCAAAGGAAAGUAAAAAUUUGCUAUUAAUAUUAUAGGUUCUUUCCCUCGUAAUCGGAUGAAGUAAUAAUUACAGAAAGUUAAUUACGUUCUCAAUGCUUGAAAACUUUCUUUAAUUUUAAGGGAAAUAUAAGAAAGUGAACACCAGUACGUAUAACGUUUCUCGUUUCUUGAUAUUAUAACAAGAGUUCAGUUUUGUAAUAGCUACAAAUUUAUUUUAUAU